CACUCAAAAAACCUAGAAACUAACUCCUCACGUUCCCUCUCAUCUCCCGAUCUCCCGUUCCUCUGAUCAAAGUUUCUUCACUCUGAUUCCGUAUGGCAGUUCCUCACCGUCAUCUCCGCCAUCUCCGCCAUCAAAUUUUCUCAUCAAGACAAACAACUAUUCUCUCAUUCUAUCAUCUUCCGAUCUCCGCGUGCCUCUCAUCAAAGUUUCUUCACUCUGAUUUCAUAUCGCAGUUCCUCACUGUCAUCUCCGCCAUCAAAAUUUCUCAUCAAGACGAAGCAACUAUUCUCUCUGAUUUCUUCCUCUCAGUGUUCGCUCAAGAAAAACUCGCGCUUCCAGCAGCAUAGAGCACCCAUCUCCUCUCCAUUCUCCGUUCUCGGUGUCGGUUAUGAGCUGUAAGGUUUCAGGUAGACUAAUGAGCUGAUGGAUCUAACUUCUUUCUUCUUCACACAUUUCCCUUCCAACUAUGGACAAUAUGAAAUGUGGAGAAUCUUUCAGAGAUGGGGAAAGGUACAAGACAUAUUUAUAUCCAGGAGACUUAAUCAAAGAGGCCAGAGGUUUGGGUUUGUAAGGUACCGUGGAAUAUCUAACCCACAAGCUCUUGAAAAACAACUGGAUAAUAUUCGGAUAGGCAACAUGAAGAUCCACGUUAAUAAGCCAAAAUAUCGCAGAUACGUUGAUGCAUCUAGAAAAGAAGGUGGACAAAGGAGUGAAAAUGAUGGUUUCAAGAACAAUAUAUCCCCAACCUAUAAGAAAGUCUGGAAGAGGAAAAAUACACAAACAUAUGCCCAAAUAGUGAAGGGAGAAGCGAUGAAUUAUAAUAACACAAGCAUACUGGCUGCUAUGGAGAUACAAGUGAAAGAAGAGGAGAAGGAAUGGCUCCAUCACAGCUAUAUUGGAAGGGUGAAGAACAUGAGUAAUAUUGAGCUUAUCCGAGAAAGCUUCAUCCUAAAUGGUCUAGACUUCAUACGUUUGAGGUAUAUGGGUGACGAUACAAUGCUCCUUAUUGCUGAAGGGAACACUAAUAUAGCGAAGGCUAUUGAGGAAAAUAAAGAGUGGUUGUCAACAAUCUUUGAAACAAUUUCUACAUGGACUAGAAACACGGUCAUGGGGCAUAGACGACAUGGGUUAGAUGUAGGGGGAUUCCUUUAUCCUUGUGGGGGAAGGAGUGCUUUGAGAAGAUCGUUGGAACGAUUGGCACAUUAAUAUCGAUUGAUAGCGCAACCGAAAAUUGGGAUGAACUCGAGUACACGAGAUUAUGCGUACGCAUGCCCAUCGGAGCAGAGCCAAAACUAAGAAAGAAGAUGAAUCUUAAUGGUAUAUUGUGUUCGAUAUCCAUUGAAGAAGAGUCGUCCUUUAUGGUGUUACCUAGAUGUUGUUGCGAAAGUUGGGAUAAGAAGACAAGAGAGGAUUCCUCCUCGAACUCCUUAGUAGGAAAUGGCUUUCAACACCCAUUUGAUUCAGAAUGUGCAAGCAUCAACGAUAUCGAGGUCUUGGAUGGAAAAUAUGAGUUUCAAACGGUGGGCUCACCGGAAGCCAUACCUACUGCACCAAACCUCGAGGGACAGGCACGUGGCUCAAAAACUUUCAAUCAAUCAGCGUGUCACAUAUGCACUCUAGAAGAAGUAUGUUUUCAGCAGAAAAAAGUGAUAAUAGUAAGGACACACAGAGAUACACUACAAUGGAAAGUUGGCUAGCAGGAAAUGCAAAGCAUCAAACGGUGGGGGAAAAUGGACUGAACAAUGAUCAACGCAGAUCAAGGACCAAAUCUGUUGUAAGUGACUCACAACAGCUAUAUCAAAAUUGGGCUUAGGAGUCGACUCAACUUAAGCCCAUAUAUCAGCAGAAUAACCAAAUGGACCUGACCAUUAAAGCCCAUUUAGAUUUUAACCCCUAUAUGUAAGUUUUCAUGAGCCCGAAUAUCUUGAGAGACAACUCUCCGUGUGGUGUGAGAGAGAUGAAUCUAAACCAUGAGAAUGAAAAAAUCAUAGAAGAGUAUUCGUCUUUGCAAAAAGGGCAAACAAAACCAGAGUUAACAGGGGUAGAACACGACGAUACUGAAAAUUGGGAAGAAUAUGGGAAAAUUGGUGGUUCUUGCGAUAGUGAUGCAAACCAGACCCAAGAUGAAGAUGGCAAGCACAAUAAGAUGAAACUCAUAAAGAAGAUGCAAAUCAAUCCAGAGAUUAUGUUGCAGCGGCGAAAUCUAAUGGUUGGUGAAACAAGUCGUGGGAGAAAAGAUAAUUAUCGAAAUGUUAACGCAUUAUGCUUGCCAAGUGACCCUCAGCAAACAAGCCAAUUGAGGAUUAUGUGGAUGAUCCAUUGAAGACCACAAAAUCUACAAUGAAAAGAAUUAAGACUAUGUUUGAUUCAAGUAUGCAUGGAGGACUCUUUGAAUAGAUGCUUUUGGCAUUGUUAUAGAAAAGGAACUAUAAUGUAAAACUUAGUCUUCAAUGGGAUUGUUGUCAUGAUAAUGUUUUUUUGCAGCAUCAUUUAGAGAAGGAAUGUUAUAUUGUUGCCAUUUGUCUUUCUUUUUGUAUAUAUUACGUUAUGUAUGGGUUGGGACAACCCAAUUGUCCCUAUUCAAUAUUUUUUUUUGUGCUGAUUAAAAAAAAAUUUACUUA
Vigna unguiculata (cowpea) is the source of this 2621-nucleotide long non-coding RNA. The record is from RefSeq and is a predicted model, not a curated record. Lineage: Eukaryota; Viridiplantae; Streptophyta; Magnoliopsida; Fabales; Fabaceae.